This 183-nucleotide unclassified non-coding RNA is filed under the name uncultured SAR86 cluster bacterium. Its description in RNAcentral is "16S-23S ribosomal RNA intergenic spacer". Lineage: Bacteria; Pseudomonadati; Pseudomonadota; Gammaproteobacteria. The record is from RNAcentral.
AAAAAGAAAUUCGUUUUUAAACGCCCACACGAGUAACUAAAUAUUAUAAAAACAAAUUGUUUUGUAAAAAUAAUUGGUAUGUAAUUUUCUAGUGUAUAUAAAUUUAUAUACAUAAGAUCACUGCAAUUAAAAAGUAAUUAAUAAUAUUUUAUUAAGUUACUCUCAAAAAAAAUAACCUUUUUU